UACGAAGGUCCCAAGCGUUAUCCGGAUUUAUUGGGUUUAAAGGGUGCGUAGGCGGAUUAUUAAGUCAGUGGUGAAAGCUCCAUGCCUAACAUGGAAAUUGCCAUUGAUACUGAUGAUCUUGAGUACAUUUGAAGUGGGCGGAAUGUGUCAUGUAGCGGUGAAAUGCUUAGAUAUGACACAGAACACCGAUUGCGUAGGCAGCUCGCUAAACUGUAACUGACGCUGAGGCACGAAAGCGUGGGGAGCAAACAGG
RNAcentral lists this ribosomal RNA (253 nucleotides) under uncultured bacterium. RNAcentral describes it as "partial 16S ribosomal RNA". It matches the Rfam family "Bacterial small subunit ribosomal RNA", at positions 524 to 776 of the family's 1533-position model. RNAcentral also lists the same sequence under 1 other name. The record is from RNAcentral.